CGUAAACUAACUUCGGUUAAACGAUGUAUAGAUUCUUGCUGGAUUACAGGAGCUGCUGAGAGAUUCUAAUUGAAACAACUUCUCCAUCAGGUCCAGCUCUCAUCAUGUAGUACUUUGUAAGGAGUCCGUCGUUGACUUGUAAGUUGGUGUUGAUUGCAACUGAAUGAAAAGUUAUCAUCGCUUUUGGUUGAAAAUCAUCUGGUUCUCCUGUCCACAACUUAAGAUUAAAGAUGCCAGCUGAUGCACGGUCGUUGAGAUGUUUGAGAUCAAAAAUGCCUCCAGACGCUGCUUUCAUAGGUUUUUCAACUUUAUGAUUUCUUAUCAACUCGUACUUCCAGCUCCCAUCUUGAAAACCCUUAUACUGAAAAAGCUCUAUAUGCCUUACAUCUAAUGUCUG
This 397-nucleotide unclassified non-coding RNA is filed under the name Hevea brasiliensis (rubber tree). Lineage: Eukaryota; Viridiplantae; Streptophyta; Magnoliopsida; Malpighiales; Euphorbiaceae. The record is from RNAcentral.